AAAUAGAUACCCCGGUAGUCCACGCCGUAAACGAUGAGUGCUAAGUGUUAGAGGGGUUUCCGCCCUUUUAGUGCUGCAGCUAACGCAUUAAGCACUCCGCCUGGGGAGUACGGUCGCAAGACUGAAACUCAAAGGAAUUGACGGGGGCCCGCACAAGCGGUGGAGCAUGUGGUUUAAUUCGAAGCAACGCGAAGAACCUUACCAGGUCUUGACAUCCCACUGACCGGUAUAGGGAUAUACCUUUCCCUUCGGGGACAGUGGUGACAGGUGGUGCAUGGUUGUCGUCAGCUCGUGUCGUGAGAUGUUGGGUUAAGUCCCGCAACGAGCGCAACCCUUGAUCUUAGUUGCCAGCAUUUAGUUGGGCACUCUAAGGUGACUGCCGGUGACAAACCGGAGGAAGGUGGGGAUGACGUCAAAUCAUCAUGCCCCUUAUGACCUGGGCUACACACGUGCUACAAUGGAUGGUACAAAGGGCUGCAAGACUGCGAAGUCAAGCCAAUCCCAUAAAACCAUUCUCAGUUCGGAUUGCAGGCUG
Molecule: ribosomal RNA, 535 nt
Filed under: uncultured bacterium
Lineage: Bacteria
Description: bacterial SSU rRNA
Rfam family: Bacterial small subunit ribosomal RNA
Source: RNAcentral